This 340-nucleotide unclassified non-coding RNA is filed under the name soil metagenome. Its description in RNAcentral is "partial contains 5.8S ribosomal RNA, internal transcribed spacer 2, and large subunit ribosomal RNA". The stretch from base 1 to 120 matches the Rfam family "5.8S ribosomal RNA", at positions 35 to 154 of the family's 154-position model. The record is from RNAcentral.
GAUGAAGAACGCAGCGAAAUGCGAUAAGUAGUGUGAAUUGCAGAAUUCAGUGAAUCAUCGAAUCUUUGAACGCACAUUGCGCCCUUUGGUAUUCCAAAGGGCAUGCCUGUUCGAGCGUCAUUUGUACCCUCAAGCUUUGCUUGGUGUUGGGCGUCUUGUCUCUAGCUUUGCUGGAGACUCGCCUUAAAGUAAUUGGCAGCCGGCCUACUGGUUUCGGAGCGCAGCACAAGUCGCACUCUCUAUCAGCAAAGGUCUAGCAUCCACUAAGCCUUUUUUUCAACUUUUGACCUCGGAUCAGGUAGGGAUACCCGCUGAACUUAAGCAUAUCAAAAGCGGAGGA